RNAcentral lists this ribosomal RNA (458 nucleotides) under uncultured bacterium. RNAcentral's name for it is "bacterial LSU rRNA". It matches the Rfam family "Bacterial large subunit ribosomal RNA", at positions 1348 to 1792 of the family's 2925-position model. The record is from RNAcentral.
AGGUUUCCUGUCCAAGGAUCAUCCGGGCAGGGUAAGUCGGUGCCUAAGGUGUAGCCGAAAGGCGAAGCUGAUGGGAAUCAGGUUAAUAUUCCUGAACCAUGAACGAGGAGCAGAGCAGGGACGGAGAAGGGUAGGUCAGCCGGUCAUCGGAUUCCGGUUCAAGCGGGUAGGUAGCACGCGUAGGAACAAAACGCGCGGGCAAUGCCGAGACGUGACGACGAAGAGCUUCGGCUCGAAGUGAUUGAUCCCACGCUUCCAAGAAAAUCUGCGGGCUGCGUUGAGUCGUUCAUGACCGUACCGCAAACCGACUCAGGUGGGCUGGUGGAGAACACCGAGGCGUUCGAGAGAACCCAGGUUAAGGAACUCGGCAAAUUGACACCGUAACUUCGGAAUAAGGUGUGCCAUCGGUACGUGAAGGGCUUGCGCCCGGAGCGGAGGAUGGUUGCAACAAAGCGGCG